Molecule: long non-coding RNA, 2235 nt
Filed under: Rattus norvegicus (Norway rat)
Lineage: Eukaryota; Metazoa; Chordata; Mammalia; Rodentia; Muridae
Description: long non-coding RNA NONRATT017678
Source: RNAcentral
ACCAUGCAGCCUUGGUGCGCUUCCUGCCACCCUGGAGAGACAGAAAAACUGAGAUCGGAGGGUUCUUUGAAGUAUAACUCCCGUUCAGUGCUACCCAGCACGCGACCCCUCACUGCCUUCCAAAGACUUCGUGCAUCUCAGGAAUCCAGAGAGCCCAUCUGGUGACAGCGGACCCUCGGGUACAAGAAGCGGAGUAUACGCGGGCGGAACUGGAACCCGACGGGAGGGCAGGGGAGGGCGUGCAGGACUCAGUACAGCCUGGAGCAGCAGACAAGCUCCCUCAUCCCACCCUCGGCUCCCCGGGGCACAGGAAGAGCACACUUGGUUGGUUGUCAGCCGCUGAGAUCUCACCAUCUGUGCCACACACGGCAGCAACAAUGGCUGCUGUGAAGUGGGUCAAGAAGUCUGGCGCUCAACUGGACGCUGGUGGCACGAGAGACUAGAGGAUGUCACCAACCCCGCCUGACCACAUUUCCCCUGACUACAGCUAUAUGUAGAGAGAGAGAUCGAAAGAUAACCAGUGUCAACAUCUGGCCACGUCUGAGCGGGAACCCCGGCACACACAUUUCUCCAGGCAAGUGCACGUGGAGGGAAAAACAAAAAUCCCGGCACCCGAAAAUAUUCUAAUCAGUGUCCCGACUCAGUCCUGGGUCCGAGGAAAUCAAACCAAAGCAGCAUCUUGUUCAUAGACUAAUGAUUGGGGCACGCUUCCUACCGCAGGCACCGACGCAGCUCACCGGAGAGUGGGCUGAGGAAAGUCAACUGUCAAGCGUUCCUUAGUUUUACUAUCUGUGGGGAAAUACGUGCGACUGAAACAUGACAGACAUGGACUCUACCUCUUGGCUCUAGGACACCGAGUACUGCCUGUACCCAAAGGCCGAUGUACUACUACCCAGCUGGCUACGUGCCCUACUACCCAUGGCCUCCCAGGGCCCAGCUUCCUGCUGCUGCCUUUCUCCUGGCUGCACUUGCCUCACUCCCAGUAGGGCAGGGAGGAGCUCUGGAUCUGUCCCACCCCAGGCCUUUCACCCAUGCACCACAGAACGGAAAGAAAAAAAUCAUCUUUAUUGAGGUGCAAUUCACGGGCAAGAAACACACGGUCACGUGAUUGAGGCUGCUGCACCCGAGGACAUUCUGCCUGUCGUGAGUGUUCCCAUUUCCCAUUUAACCCAAGAGUCCAGUCCUCCCCAGUGUCCUCUGCUAGUCAGAGGCUUGCUGCCGGAACAGAGUCUUGCCACUGGACAGGGCACACAGGAAGGACCCGGGCAUCCUACCAACAGCACCAGGAUUCUGAAGAGUCGCCCAGAGCUCCAGUCACCACAGAGGUCAUGGGAUUGUCCUGCUGCACAUCUGGGUUGCUGCUAGACGUGAGCAGUUCCGAAUAAAAAUGCAAGAGGGUUGUAGGGACAUGUUUUGCUUCUCCCCAGAAGGGACUGUGUGGGGGAGACAGGGAGUUAGCACAGUUGACUUUGCAAAGCAGAUGUACCACUUGCCACCCCGUGUCGUCGCCGGCACUUAGCGCUGUCUGGUUUUAAGCAUUAGCCUCUCUUGAAGGCAUGCCGUGGUCCCCCCACUGAUUGGUGAGGGACGAUCGUGAUAUUAGUCACACUUUCGCAUGCUCAGGGCUCAUCUGUUCAGAUCGUGCACAUUUUACUUUUAUUACACUUGCCCGGCGUGUGCACGUGCUUGCCACCACACGCAUGUGUAGGUCAGCAGACAAUGUACAGGAGUCGGUGCCUCUACUUGGGUCCCAGGAAUCUAGUGCAACUUGACAAGCGUGCUAACGGUUGUCUUUUUUCCCAAUGCUGGCCCAGAUCUUUCGAUCUUAAUUUAAAAACUUAGUCUUUAAGCUACGAGGGUUUUUAGGUAUUCUGAAUACAUACCCUAUAUGGAUAUUUUCUCCGAGGUGUGUCUUGCUUUGUUGAUCAUUUAAUGGUAUCUUUUGAUGCUCAGACUGAUAAUUGUAUCUUUUGGAGACUUUGCUCCCUGGAUCCUUAAUGCCUGCCUAAAGGAAGGACUCUUACCCUUGGCAUCCUAUCUGGGCAGAUGUGGUCUCCUUUCUAACCCCAGAACUUAGGACAACGGCUUGGAUGUUGAAUGUCCCCUGAAGGCCCACAUGUUGAAGGCUUUAUUCCCGGUGUGAUAUUACAGAAAGAUGAUGGUACUUUUCUUUCCUCUGUGUAGCCCUGACUAUCCUGUAACUCACUUGGUAGACCAGGCUGGCCUCGAACACAC